Molecule: long non-coding RNA, 205 nt
Filed under: Brassica napus (rape)
Lineage: Eukaryota; Viridiplantae; Streptophyta; Magnoliopsida; Brassicales; Brassicaceae
Description: long non-coding RNA (BNAP_LNC004404)
Source: RNAcentral
GGUUACUGUAGGGAAUUUAUAUAGGUUUACUGAUUUUAUAUUAAUUAGUGUUGAUUAGGUGGUUAAUGUAGGGAAUUUAGCUACGUUUAUAGAAUUUGUUAUUUAUAGAAUUUGUUAAUUACUGUUAAUGUUAUUUUUAAAAAUUAAUUUUUUUUCAGACGGUUCGAAGGAACAGACUUAGUCUCUAUUACAGAGAAAUGUUCGG